RNAcentral lists this unclassified non-coding RNA (331 nucleotides) under soil metagenome. Its description in RNAcentral is "partial contains 5.8S ribosomal RNA, internal transcribed spacer 2, and large subunit ribosomal RNA". The stretch from base 1 to 120 matches the Rfam family "5.8S ribosomal RNA", at positions 35 to 154 of the family's 154-position model. The record is from RNAcentral.
GAUGAAGAACGCAGCGAAAUGCGAUAAGUAAUGUGAAUUGCAGAACUCAGUGAAUCAUCGAAUCUUUGAACGCACAUUGCGCCCCCUGGUAUUCCGGGGGGCAUGCCUGUUCGAGCGUCAUUUCACCACUCAAGCCUCGCUUGGUAUUGGGCAACGCGGUCCGCCGCGUGCCUCAAAUCGACCGGCUGGGUCUUCUGUCCCCUAAGCGUUGUGGAAACUAUUCGCUAAAGGGUGUUCGGGAGGCUACGCCGUAAAACAACCCCAUUUCUAAGGUUGACCUCGGAUCAGGUAGGGAUACCCGCUGAACUUAAGCAUAUCAAUAAGCGGAGGA